CUACGGGAGGCAGCAGUCGAGAAUCAUUCACAAUGGGGGCAACCCUGAUGGUGCAACGCCGCGUGGAGGAAGAAGGUCUUCGGAUUGUAAACUCCUGUCAUCUAGGAGCAAGGCAUGGUGGUGAAUAGCUAACAUGAUUGAUAGUACUAGAAGAGGAAGGGACGGCUAACUUCGUGCCAGCAGCCGCGGUAAUA
Molecule: ribosomal RNA, 194 nt
Filed under: uncultured Verrucomicrobiales bacterium
Lineage: Bacteria; Pseudomonadati; Verrucomicrobiota; Verrucomicrobiia; Verrucomicrobiales
Description: partial 16S ribosomal RNA
Rfam family: Bacterial small subunit ribosomal RNA
Source: RNAcentral